GAAUAUUGGUCAAUGGGGGCAACCCUGAACCAGCCAAGUCGCGUGAAGGAUGAAGGUCUUAUGGAUUGUAAACUUCUUUUACACGGGAAUAAAGUGGGGGACGUGUCCCCCUUUGCAUGUACCGUGUGAAUAAGGAUCGGCUAACUCCGUGCCAGCAGCCGCGGUAAUACGGAGGAUCCGAGCGUUAUCCGGAUUUAUUGGGUUUAAAGGGUGCGCAGGCGGGAUGUUAAGUCGGCGGUGAAAUUUUGCAGCUCAACUGUAAAAGUGCCUUCGAUACUGGCUUCCUUGAGUGUAGAUGAAGUAGGCGGAAUUUGUGGUGUAGCGGUGAAAUGCUUAGAUAUCACGAGGAACUCCGAUUGCGCAGGCAGCUUACUAAACUACAACUGACGCUCAUGCACGAAGGCGUGGGGAUCA
Molecule: ribosomal RNA, 414 nt
Filed under: uncultured Petrimonas sp.
Lineage: Bacteria; Pseudomonadati; Bacteroidota; Bacteroidia; Bacteroidales; Dysgonomonadaceae
Description: bacterial SSU rRNA
Rfam family: Bacterial small subunit ribosomal RNA
Source: RNAcentral